Molecule: long non-coding RNA, 8233 nt
Filed under: Triticum aestivum (bread wheat)
Lineage: Eukaryota; Viridiplantae; Streptophyta; Magnoliopsida; Poales; Poaceae
Description: long non-coding RNA (TAES_LNC024726)
Source: RNAcentral
AGGACCAGCACCGGUACCCCCCCCCCCUCGCGGAUCCAACAGCAGCGGCUAGGUCAGGGUCGGAGAUGGCGCAUCGGCCAUCCGAUUCCGCCGGUCGUAGAUCAAACAGAGGGCGUGAUAAAGUCCAGCAGAAGUGGUGGCCGGGACUUUUACUGUUAAUUCGAUCUGCAAAACAGUGAUCAAUAUAGUAUAUGUGCAGUAAAAUAGACAUGUUGCUGAUAGUGUUGUAGUAGUGUGUGAUUUGGUUGCAUAGUUUUCUAAUGGAAACAAGUGAAAAACUCUUUGAUUUUCUGAUUUCUUUAUGCUUGCAGAGAGGUUCCACGACUUCAGUUUGGCUAUCAUCAAAAUUGGAGGAGAGCCCGAUGCAUUGGAGAGCAUCAUCCGCGAGUUCCACAGGAUCGAAUUGAGGAGGCAUUAUAACCUGGCAUCAUUUGGAUGACUUUGUCAGUAGGUAGAAAUUAGAAUUUGAGCAAUCUGAGACCCUGAGUUCUGCAUAAAGAAUUCCGAAAGUGAAACACCUUGUUUGUCCUGCAGGAAGAAUGGCUAACAUGCCUGUUAAAGCUAGAUAAACGCGUAUUGAAGGAACUGGGGUAUGUCCGCCAUGUUGAACACCCUCACAAUGACGGGUAAUUUCUUGUUACAUUCACCAUGGAAUGGUUUUGUGAUUCUGUUCCUUGUACAUAAUUCAGUUAAAUUCUAUCAAGUAUCCAGUUACUUGCCAUUCUUUGGUGAGAUUUGUUGAUGAUUUUUCUGAAGUAUUUUUGUGCUAUUCUCAUGUUUGUCAAACAUCAAUUUAGACAUCUUGACAAUACUUCCAACACUUUUUUAGCAAUUGAUACUGCCCACACUUUUCCUGGUCUUUUCGUCCCACAGUAGAAUAAUCCUAUGUUGCCAUGAAAAACAAUUUCAUGUGCUGAAGGCAGCGGAUCAAAUCAGCACUACUCCAUACUGCAUUGUUCUUGUCCCAUUUCGAGUAUCUUCGUUAAAUCAUUUUCAUCGGUACUAAGUAGCACUGACCUUUAUGUGUUAAUUUUUUUUACCAACUUGCAAAGAAUGCAUUUUUUUCCUUUUCUUUAUGUACACAAAUGAGGCAAUGCAGUUGGCAUCGACAUCUGCUACUCGCCGGCCUCUCUUGGAGCGCAGGUCGCCAUCGCCGUCCGCCGCUUCGGCGCUCGGCUCCUGCCCCAUGGACGCAUUCGCCACACCACUACUAGGGAAAAGCCUAACAGUAACGCGGGUAAUAGGGCUAUCAGUACAGCUAACGUGUACCAGUAGCGUGUACCCACAAGCGCUACUGGCAUACAUACUUAGCAGUAGCGCUGGUUGGGGAAGGUGCUACUGGUGGGACUAAUGGUAUGGUGCUAGCUUUAUGAAAUAAACGCUCAGCGUUCGCAAUUCUUCAUACUUAACUUGUUCAUUGCAUUUCAAACUUCUAGAUUAGAUGCCUGAUAUUUUUUUCUUAAAGAAUGUAAAAUGGGAGUGCGUGUAAAAGGACUUCCCAUUUUAUUGCAUUCAAGAAAUGACCAAGUUACUGAAUUUGAUUUGUAGGUACCAUACAAUGUUAGCGAGGACAGUGAUUGGGGGAUUGAUAUUUUCGAAGUAAAGAGGUGCUUGGAGGAGGCACGCGUCGCAGGUUUGACUGUUUGGGCUAUGGUGAUCAUAAACCCCGGAUAACCGACGGAACAGGUAUGCAAACAGAUAUUUGCAAUAACAUCAAAAAAUCUAAAAGGUUCGCUAAAAUUGUGUUGAAACUCAAAAUCCGCAAGCUUUGCUGUAGGUACUUUCUGUGACCAACCAGGAGGAGAUAGUAGAAUUUUGUCGAAAAGAAGGUUUGGUUAUGCUUGCCGAUGAAGUUUGCACUUGGUGAACUGCGGUAGUUUUGUGACGCGGACGCGUGUGUAGACAUCCUACAUUUGUAUAAAUGCGUUUACAAGUAUACCAAGACAAGCUCUAUAUGGAGGACAUGAAGUUCAAUUCUUUCAGGAAAGUUGCCAGAUCACUUGGGUAUGACGAGAAUGGUAUAUCCAUAGUGUCAUUUCAUUGGGGGGUAAAUCUUUGUUCAUUAGAAACACAGUUCAUAGCCUCUGGAAAAUAAGCCUUAGAUUAGAGAUCCAUGGUAAUUUUUUCAUCAUCUGAACUUGGCAGGGUACUCUGGAGUAUGUGGCAGAAGGGGAAGCUACAUGUUGAUAUGUAAAAUUCCCUUCACGACUCGUUUAGGAAUAACAGAGUUUUGGAGAUGAUGUGAUGGGUGAGAUUCGCAAGGUGGCUUCUAUGACUCUUUGCCCCAACAUAAAUGGUGACUUGCGAUGGAUCCACCGAAGGUUCGUUCAUCAUGCCUUUCUUGUGUCUACUAAUAUAAUUUAUUGUAAUUAGUACAUAUUAUCCUGAUAAUCAUUGUGCAAGAAAACUGAGAGCUCAGUUUACAACACUGAUGGAGUCAGUCCAUUGAAUAUUUGAGGAUUCAAAUUCAGAGAGAAUAUUCCAUCGAAUGUUCAAAGAAUUCAGAAAGUAGAGUAAGCAGAGCUCAGAUAGUAGUGAUACAGAUUAACUUAUAUCAACGGGUGCUUACACUAAAUCUGGCCAAAUACUGUAGUAAGUAGCCUCCUUGUGUUGUCGGUUAUUACAUGCUAUAAAAGACUUCAGCUCCUGCACUGAACCAAAUUAAUGGGGUGAUAAUACAGAUUAACACUACAAAAGCCUCCCCCCCCUCUCAGUCAGGCCUCUAUACCCUACCACCUACUCAUCUCCCUGAAACCUCUUGGGGUAGAGAGGCAAAAAAAGAAAAAACAAGAAAAGAAGACAAUUAAACAUUCCUGGAUACAGGCAACACUGUAUUCGCAAGCCCGUUGGCUACUUUCUGGGGUCGUGGAGGCUUCUUGUAAUUUGCUAUACUAAAAUGGGGGCAAAUAUACUCCAACCCAUGUGUAUUCGCGUAAUCCUGCAAUGAAAAGACCGAUCGGUAGAUUUGUUAUCAUGGAGAGGGGGUUAGGGUCGUAGAAUACAAGACUUUGGUGGUUACUGACAGUUCUAACAUGAAUUUGAUUGACCUGGGAGUUGUGACAUGCAAAUGUUUUAUGGUUGAUGGUUCUGUACCAUCAGUAAUAUUAUAUAAACAUAGUCUCUGCUUUCAUCUUCUUUGAUGAUAUAUUUUCUGGUCAAAAUUUAAAUGCAUUAUGCACCUGUUCUUUUUAUUGUAGUUCCAUUUUUUGUCAAAUUUAUAAAUUCUCUAUGAAUAGGAAUAUAGAGGCAUGUUCUUAAUCUAUUUUGGUUUUUUUGUUCACCCCGAAAUGCAGUAUAGAUCUGCGAUUGACAUUUUUAUUGGACCACUGGGUGAGCAUUUGCAACAAAGAGCCAGGGAGUAAGCUGGGAGCGGACAAACAUAAUGCCCUGAACAUGAGUUUGUCCUUGCAUAAUUAUCCAUGUCUGAUGGUACUACACCGCUUUAGUUUGUCCUUGUAUUAUCUCUUAUUGAUAAAAAAAUGUCCAGAACAAAGAAAUGAUGAAUUGUAGUAUAGCCAUUUUUGUAGUUGAAAAUUAUGUCUAAAAUUGAUCAUCACAUAGUAUGCUGGCAACUUGCAGGGUCGAUGAGACAUUGAUUGCCAUAUUGCUUUUCCAUCUUAUUCACAUCUUAUGAAUAUAUCUUUAAUAAUAUAAUUUAAUAUUUGUGUUUUCACAGGUAGGAAGAGACAGGAUCAGAUCGCUCACCAGUGAUGAAGACGUGGUAGUACCGUAGUAGGGUGUGGUAGAUGAACAUGUCUUUAUUUUCUGAAUCGCUUAAUAUUAUAUGAUAUUGUACUGAUAAGUAGGAGGUGAUUGCUGAUGGGUGAUUCUAGAUUCUUGAGUGAAUACUAGCUACCAUGUUAUCCUAAGUGCUGUCAACUAUUCAAUUACAAAUAAAAACUCAAGAACGUACUUAGUCUACCACAAAUUGGGAUUUUUUUUGCCUCAAAUUUAGUCUGAUACAUUUUCCUUAACGUGACACUCUUUUUAGAGUUAACCCAACAUUUUUCUGUUCCAUCGUAAUCAACUAACUUUGAUAUGCAUGGGUUCAAUGCUAAACAAAGGAGGCACACUUCUCUAGCCUCGAGGUGGUAUCACUAAUAUGUGCCAUGAACUAUACGCAAUUCAGGUUAUGUGACCAGACACUAUAUUUUAUCCCCAUCAUUAUCAGUAAGCAAUGCAUAAUUUUUCUUUGCUCAUCGUCCUACUAACAAUAACUUGUUCUGCCUAAGUGGUUAUCCCUUAUAGCAUCACCUGCACCUACCAGCCUGAAUGAACUUUGGCGACAAUGCAAACAUGCUGUUAUUGCAGAUGAAAAAAUAUUGUAAUGUAUGCAAAUGCAAGUGUGAUUUUUCCUUUUAGAAACCCUUUUUCUGUUUUCAUUUUAUUCCUGUCUGAAAUAUAAUAUAUAAAUAAAGAGGUUUAUUAUUCUUCCGUUAUCUUCAGCUCAUGUAUAUUUUAUGUGUUUCUUACUUUCUUUUAACAUUUCUCAAUAUAGUUCUUCUCAACAAAUUUUCAUAUCGCAGAGCUUGGUCCAGCACUCGGACUCUCGGACUCACUGGAUGCAAAUGGAGUGGAGCCUCCUCUGCCAUCUCAACAUCAGCCGCAGGACGGCACUACAACCAACUAGCACCAUGGAUGGGUCAAGGUUGCUUGUGAUGAGAUCAUCAAUCUCGAAGGAGGACAGGUUGAUGAUAUGGACCUCUUGGACGACUAUGUCGUUGUUGUUGUAAAACAUGGUGAUGGUGUUUCAGUUGAAAUAGGCAAGGGCAGUCAGCCCGAGGCGGCCCUUAUUCAGGCUUCAAGAUCGAGCUGCACCUUUAUCGAUGGAAGUCAUAUCCAUUAUUCCUCCUUAUUCUAUCUUAUAUAUUUAACUGUAUUGACAUAAAAACAGUGUCAGGAUUAUAGACAUGUAUCGUUGUUAUUACCAAUCAGAUCAGUGGUACAAGUCUUUUUUCCUUGAUCUCUGAGUGUUUAGCCACAAGAGGCGUUAGAAGAGCCCGAACAGAACCUACCGAGCCUGGUCGUGGUUAAUGAGGUUUUGCCGGAUAAAUAGCCUGUUCGUGGGAGGCGAAGGGGCACUUCUCGGUCAGAUCUGCAUACGCGGCUGGCUUUUGCGGAAGGGAGGUCAUACCUACGGCGGAUCUAACAUGGAAGUCGCGUGCCCCUUUGCAGUGCAAAUUCUUUACAUGGCUGGCAAUGAAGGAGCGAUGCUGGACUUCGGAUUGCCUUGCGCAAAGGGGUCUACCUCAUCAGGAUGCAUGCCAUUCUGUGAUCAAGAGGACGAAACGAUCAAUCAUAUACUGCUAUCGUGUGUCUUUGCUCGGACUGCUUGGGCGGCCAUCUAUGGCUUGCUGGAUAAACCAGAAUGGACCCCCUCCCCUCAUGAUGUGCUGGUCGAGUGGGCCAUUGACAAGAAGGGAGUGAACAACUUGAGCAUGAAGGAUCUACGCACCAUAUUCGCGCUUGUUUGGUGAGAGUUGUGGAAGCCCAGGAAUGCUAUUGUAUUUGAUGGAGCACGGCCGUCUAUAGAUCAGCUGUUACAAAGAGUGAGAGAUGAGGGUGUGGUCUGGUCCUCUGCGGGACUUCUAAAAAGGAAUGUAACUUCCUUCUUUACUAGGGUAGAGAGGUGGGUGAGUGGUGAGGAUUAGCAUGUAAUAUAAACCCUGUAACCAAUGGUGGAGGCACUCUUUGCCUUUCUUCUUUAAUAUAUGAUAUGCACACUCGUGCAUAUUCGAGAAAAAAAAGAACCUACCGAGCCUUCUGUCUGUGUAGUCUGCGACUUGACAAGGUUAAACAUGAGAUUCUUUUUAUACUGAAUAAUAUCUAUGCCAACAUCUUACAUUUAAUCCAAUUAGCCUUACCUUUUAAUUUCCAAUAUUCUAGGGAAAGCAAACGGAAGCUCAUGGAACUGACGCAACCAUGAUCACACGCUUCGACGGUACUGUUCCUUAUAAGCAUGCCUUUUGCUGAUAUGAUAGUUUUGCGUUGACUUCGUAAACUUUUAUUGUAUGCCAGCAGUUCUCUGACUAUGCUUUAAAUGAGAGUAGUUUACAUCGCUAGAAUAUGGGCAUCAGAGAUAAGAAGAAAAUGGGCAUGAAAGAAUUUUUUAUAGUUGGUUCAUUUGUUAUAUACAUCUUUCAUGUUCACUCUGUAGAGCUCCCUUGGGUAGUUACUUCAUUUGUGCUGCACAAAAUACACGCUCUCCAUCCGUCAAGGAAGCAGGUCGUAAAUCAGCAUGGUCAAGUUGUAGUGACAUGAUAAAGGCAAUAAACUUUCACACAUUUUCUGUUCCAUUCACAAUUAUUUGAAGGGGCUGCUUAUCAGUUUUUAAUCUUGAAGCUUGCACAGUCACUAAUAUGACCAUGCUAUUUUAGAGUGAUAACCUUGCUUCCGAAGAAACUUCAAGGUUGCAAGAUAGUGAAAGCUUUUUUUUUGUGCAGUGGCAAGGUGAAAUUUUAUGGAAGAGACCAAGAGGAGUUGCUUCACGUGCUUAAUCACCGAUGUGUACAAAUGCAUAAACAGUGAUGAAUACUUUCUCAUGAAUUUUAAUUUUCCCCUCCAGUCACAACAUCAUUGAUUCCUUGUAUUAAUAUACACCUAAACUGAUGGUUUUAUCUAAUUCUAAGAAAGGUACAUUGCAAGGUAUAUUUAGACAUUAGAAUAUAUAUGUAUGCCCUUGUUGCAAUGCAUGGACAAUGUAAUAAUCUUUAUUCCUUUGCAUUGUUUGUCUGGUUUGUAUUCGUGUUCCGAUCACGAUCCAUUGAUUACACGUUUUAUGUUUUUAUUUGUAGUAUUGCCAUAAGAUAAACAUAAUGCUUUGCUAGAUGUCUUAUGCGGGCUAGAGAGAUUCAAUUAACACGGAGAAAUUCAAAGUGUGGUUCGGGAGGGGAUGGAAUGAGAUUGUGAUCCAGAUGCACCUGUGGUACAUGUGGUGAGCUUCAAUUUGUACUAGAGUUAGUUUCAAGUUUUAUCCUUGUUGCAGUAAAAAAUUAAGGCUGGAUUAACCACCAUGUACAUCUUUAAUUACUUUUAAAUAAGAAAUAUAAUCAAAAUAUUCUUUUGAAUUGAUAAAAUUUAUAUAAUUUAUAGAAGUACAUGAAGGUGGAACAGGAGGAAGGUGGGAGAAGAUUAGAUAUCGUUUCAUUUUCUUGCAAGGAGAGGAUGGUUACGAAGAAAUGACAAGAAAUGGAGAGAGAAUCAGUUUUAUUACUGUAUGGAUGGAAACCACAUGCCAGCUUGUCCAACAUAUUUCUACGUUGAGUCAAUUAUUCGAUCGCUAUGUUUUUUUAUUCCAUGGCAAUGCAUGGUCAUUCAACUAUUCAAAUUUACAGGUUGUUCAUCCACUUUUUUCAAGCUAUUUACAUAUUUGUCACUUGUCAGCAAGUUUGCAUAUGAUGCUAGGAAGUGAACAUAAGGACACAUAAACGUUGCAUUUUGAAUAUGAAAUAAACUCAACAUCCAAAUAACAAAUUCGUUGCUGUGUCCAUCAGUGAGCAGGAAAUGUAAGCAUCCUUCUAAAUAAGAUAUUACCUAUCUUGAAGCUGGAAAUGCAAGAAUUCUUCUAAAUAAGAUAUUAGUUAUCUUCAUGAUGGAAAUGCAAGCAUCCAAAAUUUACAACAAUAUUUCUAAAAACUGGAAACAAGCUUGCAAUCUUGAUAUAAGAAUGAAACAUAAGCAACAUCACAGAGUUUGCUAUUUCUUUUGAAACAUAAUUACCAACAAGUGAUAUACAGGUGAACUUACAGUUUAUUCAAAUUGGAAUGCGGCUCACUCUACUAAAAAGGACGAUGUCACUCACUCCGACUAAAAACGAUCUUCUACUUGCAUUUAGCAUCUGGCCAAUGAAUAUAUAUUGUAUAUGAGUUUUCUAUUUUUUAUUUUAAUAUUAUUUAUAUGUCUACUUUUGUAGAUCAAAGAUCAAAACUGAUGGCUUUUUAUUGACAAAGCUUUAUGGUGAACCAGACUGAAAAAUCAUCGGGUUUUAAACAAUCAGAAGAGAUGCAUACAAAUAAUUGUUCUUUAUAUAUUUGUUGUGCAUGAUAAUACAAAAGGUAUGUUUCUAUACAUAUUUAUUUUUACAGAGUAUGAAAGAGAUGGAGAUGGAUUAUGUCAACGUUCAAAAAGAAUCCAUCGACAAGGGUGUUGAGGCGAUGUCAUUGGAAGGGCCCAAAAAAUUCAUUAAGAUUUAUACAACAAAAGGCCCGUGGCAACGCACGGGCAUUGUACUAGU